CUUGCAGUCAUAACCAGCAAUAUCUGGUUCCCAAUGGUUUGCAUGUCUUCAAUGUGGAUAUUCAUUAUGUCUCCACUCCUAGGUAUCAGAUGUGACAUCCAGAUGACCCAGUAUACAUCCUCUGUGUCUGCCUCUCUGGGAGACAGAGUCAGUCUCACUUGCAGGACAUUGGGAGUCAUUUCAGCUGUGUCCAGAAGAAACCAGAGAAACCUAAGCCCCUGAUCUAUGGUCCAACUAACCAGGUCGAUGGAGUUUCAUCAAGGUUCAGUGCCAGGGGAUCUGGGAUAGAUUAUUCUCUCACCAUCAGCAACCUGGAGUCUGAUGAUGCAGGAAUCUAUUUCUGUCAACAGGCUAAGGAGUCUCCUCCCACAGUGAUAGAAGCCAUAACAUA
Mus musculus (house mouse) is the source of this 391-nucleotide non-coding RNA. NCBI's taxonomy places the organism in Eukaryota, Metazoa, Chordata, Mammalia, Rodentia, Muridae. The record is from the annotation of a RefSeq genome assembly.